Molecule: ribosomal RNA, 514 nt
Filed under: uncultured bacterium
Lineage: Bacteria
Description: partial 16S ribosomal RNA
Rfam family: Bacterial small subunit ribosomal RNA
Source: RNAcentral
GACGAACGCUGGCGGCGUGCCUAAUACAUGCAAGUCGAGCGAACGGAUGAGAAGCUUGCUUCUCUGACGUUAGCGGCGGACGGGUGAGUAACACGUGGGCAACCUGCCCUAUAGUUGGGGAUAACUCCGGGAAACCGGGGCUAAUACCGAAUGAUACAUUUCAUCUCCUGUUGGAAUGUUGAAAGAUGGUUUACGCUAUCGCUAUAGGAUGGGCCCGCGGCGCAUUAGCUAGUUGGUGAGGUAACGGCUCACCAAGGCGACGAUGCGUAGCCGACCUGAGAGGGUGAUCGGCUACACUGGGACUGAGACACGGCCCAGACUCCUACGGGAGGCAGCAGUAGGGAAUCUUCCACAAUGGGCGAAAGCCUGAUGGAGCAACGCCGCGUGAGUGAAGAAGGUUUUCGGAUCGUAAAACUCUGUUGUAAGGGAAGAACAAGUACAGUAGUAACUGGCUGUACCUUGACGGUACCUUAUUAGAAAGCCACGGCUAACUACGUGCCAGCAGCCGCCGUAA